Long non-coding RNA from Diabrotica virgifera virgifera (western corn rootworm), 1116 nucleotides. RefSeq lists it as uncharacterized. The transcript has 2 exons. The record is from RefSeq and is a predicted model, not a curated record. NCBI's taxonomy places the organism in Eukaryota, Metazoa, Arthropoda, Insecta, Coleoptera, Chrysomelidae.
AACAAGAAGAGCUUUUUAUGAAGAAUAACUUUUAUUUGUCAAAUUAAAAAUAAAAGAGUUAUAAAUGAAAAUGUUCUUGGUAUCCAUAAUUUGAGAAAAAUCUUCAAAUAUUUUUUCCAUUAGAAGGAUGUACAGAGACACAAUACUGGCUAGUGAUUUUAGUCAAUAAUUUUGACAAUUCGACAAAAAAAUAAUUUCUAAAUAGUUAAUAAUUAUUACUAAAUAAUUAGUAAUUUUGCCAAUUUCGGCAAAAUUCUCAAAAAACAAAAAAAUUACCUUCUACAAUCACUAGCCAGUUGUGUCGAGUUUAGGGAACGACUAGGUAUUGGGAUAAACCGUAAUCGUACCCCUUCCUAACUGCCAAAGUGUCAUGGCCGCCGUCGGGACCUAUUGUGCUGACAUUUACAAUGUUUACAUAUAGAAAAGUUUGUUUUUUUCUGCUUAUAAUGCCGUUUUCUAAAGAUAUUAGUGAACAAAAUCGAUUUGCUAACAAUAUUUAAUAUAUUUUAAAUGUGCUAAAAUUGGAUUCAACAGCAAAAGUCGCAUAAAUAACAUAUAAAUGACGAAUUUGUUUACCUAUUACAAAUGGGGUUAUGUGGUUGUAACUGUUUAUUUUGGGAAUAAAAUGAAAAUGAUCAAUUAAACGACUGGAAAACUAUAGUGAAGUGAAGAACAUCUUGAAGUUCCAAUGAUGUUUCAAGAUGAGAUAAAUCGAAAUAAUGGUUGUAUGUUAGAAGGACAGAGAAUACGAAGAAAUGUUAUUGCUGCAUACUUAGUGUAGUGAAAUACAAACUUCAAACAUUAUAAUAUAUUUUUUUAUUUCAAACAUUUCAUAUGAUUAUGAAAGAACAUCUUCCUCUUUAAAACAAUGAAGAAGUGAAGAACAUAAUAAAGUUCCAACGAAAAUGAUUCCAGAUGAGGAAAAUCGAAAUAAUGGUUGUAUGUUAUGUGUAUAGAGAAUACGAAGAAAUGUUAUUGCUGCAAACUUAGUGUAGUGAAUUAAAAACUUAUUGUCAAAUACAAAUCAAUUUAUUUCAUACUUUUAUAAUAUAUAGUGGUACAAUUUUAUAUGUGUUCAAAUAAAAAUAUUAAUAAAUAAAAUACAAUAAACACAAA